Molecule: ribosomal RNA, 527 nt
Filed under: uncultured bacterium
Lineage: Bacteria
Description: bacterial SSU rRNA
Rfam family: Bacterial small subunit ribosomal RNA
Source: RNAcentral
AAUGAACGCUGGCGGCGUGCCUAACACAUGCAAGUCGUGCGCGAAAGGGGCUUCGGCCCCGAGUAGAGCGGCAGACGGGUGAGUAACACGUGGGUAACCUGCCCAGAAGUGGGGGAUAACCUGGGGAAACUCGGGCUAAUACCGCAUACGUUCGCGGGGUUCUGCUCCGCGAGGAAAGCCGGCCUAUGCUUGCAAGCUGGCGCUUUUGGAGGGGCCCGCGGCUGAUUAGCUUGUUGGUGGGGUAAUGGCCUACCAAGGCGACGAUCAGUAGCCGGCCUGAGAGGGUGAACGGCCACACUGGAACUGAGACACGGUCCAGACUCCUACGGGAGGCAGCAGUGGGGAAUAUUGGACAAUGGGCGCAAGCCUGAUCCAGCAACGCCGCGUGGAGGAUGAAGGCCUUCGGUUGUAAACUCCUGUUAGGGGACGAAGGGUCGACGGGUUAACAGCCGGUGACCUUGACGGUACCGUCCACGAGGAAGCCCCGGCGUAACUCCUGUGCCAGCAGCCGCGGUAAACGAUACUCG